GGCGCAACCCGCUUCACUUCUUCUCUCAUGUCACUGAUGUCAACUGUCGUCUGCUACACACGUUUGACAGCAGCGGUUUUCUUGUGCGUGCUUUGAUGCAUCUUAUCAACAUCUCUCGGGCGUAUCAGAGUCAAUGGUGAAAUGAAUGAGGUGGACUGUUCGUAAUUUAAUACAAAUGUCUUCUGGAAAGUGCGAGGAAAACAACUUAUCUCCCCGCUCUGCCAACAAAAUCGGAGUUUGGAAUACAAUGUAGAAAACAGAUUUUGUUUACUGAAUUCCGUUAUGCCCAUUGAAAAUGUACAAAACUAGUCAACGAAGUCAAGCGUUUGAAGACUACAGAAAACGGAUAUUCCUAGUCGUAAAAGGGAGAGCUGCGAGAACAACAUUGUCAUAAAGUGAUAAUCGAUUUAUGAGGCCGGUACUUUUGACUAUAGCUCUCAGCAUUAUCUUUCAAAAAAGAAGCGAAAUUCUGCUAAGUUUUAGUUCAAUCUUCGUGGGAGGCUACGCGUAGCGCGUAAAGAUAAACAUCCAUAUGCAAGAAUAACAUCUUCUAGAUCCCUCUAAUCACAACACUCGAAGGAUACCCUGUACAUAAACGAGAAACAUGAGUAGAAAAACACUUUUGAUGAAACUAUCAGAAAAAUGGGAGAGUAGCCUGGCAAUUCAUCAAAUAAUAUCAUUAUUCGCACAGAAAAACUAGUAUUGCACACAAAUAAUCGGAAAGAAAUUGACAAAAAAAGUUUUUGAAACAAAAAUAGUGACUUAGGAAAGAUUGCGAAUUUUUUUUUCAUAAAUAAGGAAUUUUAUUCGAAUUUUAUUUUGAUACAUUUCACGUUGUCUUCCACAACGUUUUGCGAUAUAAUUGAAAAUAGAACAACCUUGAACACGGUCAAUUCUAAUGGCACUUCAAGUUAACUAAAGAAAAUAGUGUUAUAUUGUUUUUUGUAUACGUUACAUAUAGUAGUAGGUAUUAUGAAUGUCUUAAAUAGAAAAGGUUUUAAGAAUGUUUAUCGCACUUCUUACAUCAAAUCGUUGUUUAACAACGAUUAAGAAGUUCUUAUUUAUAACGUAUUUUGUUCGAUUCUCUCUGGCUUUACAUUUUUCUGCCGAUGUCUCUUUUCUCUGUUUUUUAUUUAUUAGUACGUGUUUUGUGAAAGUUUUGGGUACGUUUC
Pseudomyrmex gracilis is the source of this 1172-nucleotide long non-coding RNA. RefSeq lists it as uncharacterized. The record is from RefSeq and is a predicted model, not a curated record. Lineage: Eukaryota; Metazoa; Arthropoda; Insecta; Hymenoptera; Formicidae. The transcript has 5 exons.